GAUGAAGAACGUAGCGAAAUGCGAUAAGUAAUGUGAAUUGCAGAAUUCAGUGAAUCAUCGAAUCUUUGAACGCACAUUGCGCCCCCUGGUAUUCCGGGGGGCAUGCCUGUCCGAGCGUCAUCACAACCCUCAAGCUCAGCUUGGUGUUGGGCCCCGCCGCCCCGGCGGGCCCUAAAGUCAGUGGCGGUGCCGUCCGGCUCCGAGCGUAGUAAUUCUUCUCGCUCUGGAGGUCCGGUCGUGUGCUCGCCAGCAACCCCCAAUUUUUUUCAGGUUGACCUCGGAUCAGGUAGGGAUACCCGCUGAACUUAAGCAUAUCAAUAAGCGGAGGA
RNAcentral lists this unclassified non-coding RNA (329 nucleotides) under soil metagenome. Its description in RNAcentral is "partial contains 5.8S ribosomal RNA, internal transcribed spacer 2, and large subunit ribosomal RNA". The stretch from base 1 to 120 matches the Rfam family "5.8S ribosomal RNA", at positions 35 to 154 of the family's 154-position model. The record is from RNAcentral.